Molecule: ribosomal RNA, 449 nt
Filed under: uncultured bacterium
Lineage: Bacteria
Description: partial 16S ribosomal RNA
Rfam family: Bacterial small subunit ribosomal RNA
Source: RNAcentral
AAUGAACGCUGGCGGCAGGCCUAACACAUGCAAGUCGAACGAGGCAGCAAUGCCUAGUGGCGGACGGGUGAGUAACGCGUGGGAACGUGCCCCUUGGUACGGAAUAGCCCUGGGAAACUGGGAGUAAUACCGUAUGUGGUCGAGAGACGAAAGAUUUAUCGCCAAGGGAUCGGCCCGCGUUGGAUUAGGUAGUUGGUGGGGUAAUGGCCUACCAAGCCGACGAUCCAUAGCUGGUUUGAGAGGAUGAUCAGCCACACUGGGACUGAGACACGGCCCAGACUCCUACGGGAGGCAGCAGUGGGGAAUCUUAGACAAUGGGGGAAACCUUGAUCUAGCCAUGCCGCGUGAUCGAUGAAGGCCUUAGGGUUGUAAAGAUCUUUCAGUGGGGAAGAUAAUGACGGUACCUGGAGAAUAAGCUCCGGCUAACUCCGUGCCAGCCGCCGCCGUAA